Molecule: ribosomal RNA, 460 nt
Filed under: uncultured bacterium
Lineage: Bacteria
Description: partial 16S ribosomal RNA
Rfam family: Bacterial small subunit ribosomal RNA
Source: RNAcentral
CCUACGGGUGGCAGCAGUGAGGAAUAUUGGUCAAUGGACGAAAGUCUGAACCAGCCAUGUAGCGUGAAGGAAGACUGCCCUAUGGGUUGUAAACUUCUUUUAUAAAGGGGUAAAACGAGGCACGUGUGCCUGUUUGAAUGUACUUUAUGAAUAAGGAUCGGCUAACUCCGUGCCAGCAGCCGCGGUAAUACGGAGGAUCCGAGCGUUAUCCGGAUUUAUUGGGUUUAAAGGGAGCGUAGGUGGGUUGUUAAGUCAGAUGUGAAAGCUAGCGGCUCAACCGUAAAAGUGCAUUUGAGACUGGCAGUCUUGAGUACAGUUGAGGUAGGCGGAAUUCGUGGUGUAGCGGUGAAAUGCUUAGAUAUCACGAAGAACCCCGAUUGCGAAGGCAGCUUACUAAACUGUGACUGACAUUGAGGCUCGAAAGCGUGGGUAUCAAACAGGAUUAGAUACCCUAGUAGUC